Molecule: small nucleolar RNA, 104 nt
Organism: Nycticebus coucang (slow loris)
Lineage: Eukaryota; Metazoa; Chordata; Mammalia; Primates; Lorisidae
Product: small nucleolar RNA U13
Exons: 1
Source: RefSeq, a predicted model, not a curated record
AUCCUUUUGUAGUUCAUAAGCAUAAAGAUUUGGUUUUCCUGAGCAUAAGUGAGAUGUGCCUCCUACAAAUCUUGUUACGAUGUUGGCACAUUACCCAUCUGACA